CAGCCGUAAACAAUGUGCGUUAGGUGUGUCGGUAACCACGCGUUACUGAUGCGCCGAAGAGAAAUCGUGAAACGCACCACCUGGGAAGUACGGUCGCAAGGCUGAAACUUAAAGGAAUUGGCGGGGGAGCACCGCAACGGGAGGAGCGUGCGGUUUAAUUGGAUUCAACACCGUAAAACUCACCAGGGAAGACUGUUACAUGAAGGCCGAGAUGAAGACUCUGCUAGAUUUUCAGAGAGGUGGUGCAUGGCGUCAGUGACU
This 261-nucleotide ribosomal RNA is filed under the name uncultured archaeon. Its description in RNAcentral is "partial 16S ribosomal RNA". It matches the Rfam family "Archaeal small subunit ribosomal RNA", at positions 748 to 1008 of the family's 1478-position model. The record is from RNAcentral.